GCACUGAAUGGAUUAAUUAUUCUUAGCUUAUUUAUAUAUUUAUUGUAAGUACUUUUAAGUCCCUCUUAUAGAAAAUUUUAAAUCUUCUAACCGAAAAAAGUUUUUAUUGUAACUCGCCUUAUUUCUUAUUUAUUUGCUGCACUUUGAUUUGUAUUAAGUUUUAUUUAAAAUUUUGAAUUUACCUUUAGGUGAAUUCACGACAACGGUAUACAAGCUUUAGUAAAUAAGUAUAAUAUUCUUGGUGAUUAUCAAUUACAUGGUAAGUUCCCCUAAAAUACUACAUUCAGCCGCCAUAAUAUUUAAGUUUGGGCUUGAUAAUAAACAUUAAUUCUUGUUUUAAAUGUAUUAAUCUCCUUAUAGUUGGGUAUCUAAUCCAGGUUUAAUUUCUGGAGGUUACUAUAAGAAUAACAUAGUUAGUUUAUAAAAUGUAAUAAUAUUUCACUAUAUAUUAAAUUUUUGUGUGCUUAAACGAUUUAAACAAUUGCUAUAAAUCUGCCUAAUAGGUAUGACCGCGGUUGCUGGCACCUAAUAAACCUAGGCUGAAUAAUUAUCUAAAUUUAAAUUUCUUUAAUAGUUUAAAAUUUUUAACUGGACUAAAUGUUUACAUUCCAUAUUAAAUUAUAUUAUAAAUUUAUAGAGCCAUCAUAUUAAAGUGGUUGGUCUAAGGGGGUUAUUUACCAUUUUAGA
Molecule: ribosomal RNA, 687 nt
Filed under: Montenegrina rugilabris gregoi
Lineage: Eukaryota; Metazoa; Mollusca; Gastropoda; Stylommatophora; Clausiliidae
Description: partial 12S ribosomal RNA
Source: RNAcentral